UCCAUAUAAUUGUAUGAUGUUACUCUCACUUCUGAUUUGACUUUCUUCAGGGAUGUGGCAAAGACUGAUAGAAUCAACUUGCUGAGAAAACGACAAAUUAAUAUUAAUUUGCAUACCUGCCUGGGUCAACUGUCCUUCAUCAUUAUGACUUUUAGUGAAAGUGGUCCGUUGACAUGUCAAUAUUUAUAGAACCAAAAAUUUGGGGCCAUUCCUAAGCGGAAGAAUUAUGUUUGACCUUUAAACUACCAGACUUAUGUCAGUCAGUGGGAGCUCUGCCUGGUAUAACUCAAACAGGAGCUGUGGAGAUAGAGUCCAGAGAUAUGUUCCUUAUCAGUGUUCUUCUCAACAUUUCCAUACAGACUGGUGCAGAUUGGGAGAUAUUUUCUCUGUCUUCCUCCAAACAUUUCUAUACAGACUGGUGCAGAUUGGGAGAUAUUUUCUCUGUCUUCCUCCAAACAUUUCUAUACAGACUGGUGCAGAUUGGGAGAUAUUUUCUCUGUCUUCCUCCAAACAUUUCCAUACAGACUGGUGCAGAUUGGGAGAUAUUUUCUCUGUCUUCCUCCAAACAUUUCCAA
Long non-coding RNA from Saccostrea cuccullata (small rock oyster), 575 nucleotides. RefSeq lists it as uncharacterized. The record is from RefSeq and is a predicted model, not a curated record. NCBI's taxonomy places the organism in Eukaryota, Metazoa, Mollusca, Bivalvia, Ostreida, Ostreidae. The transcript has 3 exons.